RNAcentral lists this ribosomal RNA (454 nucleotides) under uncultured Verrucomicrobiota bacterium. RNAcentral describes it as "bacterial SSU rRNA". It matches the Rfam family "Bacterial small subunit ribosomal RNA", at positions 48 to 480 of the family's 1533-position model. Lineage: Bacteria; Pseudomonadati; Verrucomicrobiota. The record is from RNAcentral.
AUAAGACAUGCAAGUCGAACGGGAUUACUUUUGGUAGCAAUACCGGAAGUGAUCCAGUGGCGAACGGGUGCGUAACACGUGGGCAAUCUACCGAGAAGUGGGGGAUAGCUCGCCGAAAGGCGAAUUAAUACCGCAUGUGAUCAGGGGAGACAUCUUCCCGAAAUCAAAGGUGGCGCAAGCUACCGCUUUUUGAGGAGCCCGCGGCCUAUCAGCUUGUUGGUGAGGUAACGGCUCACCAAGGCGUUGACGGGUAGCUGGUCUGAGAGGACGACCAGUCACACUGGGACUGAGACACGGCCCAGACACCUACGGGUGGCAGCAGUCGAGAAUUUUUCUCAAUGGGGGAAACCCUGAAGGAGCGACGCCGCGUGGAGGAUGAAGGUCUUCGGGUUGUAAACUCCUGUCAUUUGGGAACAAGGUGCGCGCGUUAACUGCGCACGUAUUGAUAGUACCA